AAUAUACUGUAUUACCUAGUAUUCAUGUGACAUCAAGCAACAAUAUAUGUAAAUUUUAUAAAAUAAUAUUUUUAAAAAAAAGAUCAGCUUCAAUACUAGAACACUUUACCUAAGAUUUAUAAAUCUUAGCCUUACCUGGGAUAAGGCUGUGCUUCCCAUCUUACUACAUGUCAGAAUGACUCCAAAGUAGGCCAGACUUCAGCUAAAGCCCAAUACUCUUAAUUUAGGGUGAAACUGACUUUGCUGGAUGUUUAUGAUCAAGACCUAAAGUUAAACUAAAAUGGCCAAGAAAACCAAUAUUUGGCUCUGGCCCUCUGAGUCAGUCUGAAUCCAGGGAACAGGGAACUUCUCUAAAGAGCUUUACAACUCUGGGCCACAUAACCUCCUGAUCAGGGAGAUUAUUGAGACCACUGGAGAAUGAAAAGCCAAUCAGUGCAUUUGCUGUGAAUAGGAGGGUCAUUGGAGACAGGAGACAUCCCUGAUGCUUCCAAGGGAAGCCACAUGGUCAAGCAAGACCUGGACCUAUCCUAGUGCAAAUGGCACUAGCAGAACUAUGAAGCUGCUCUCAGGUUCCCCCACGAGCGACCCCUAUGGGAACUCGGCUGACUCUUAACAAUAGAUAGAAACAAAGUCAAUUUUGACCAACUUGGUCUUAAACACCUAUCAAAACCAGUUAAGCCAAAACCAGUCAUUCCUGGGAGUAAUGAAGCACAAGAACAGCUAGAAAAGAGGAGACAGCAACUAAGCCAACAGGCUCCAUGGGGAAUGUUCAGUUAAGUAUGGCCUUGGCUCCUCCCCCUCACAGGACCCCUAUUAGUCCUCUCUAUGUUUCUCCUAAUAGGACCAUGUCUAUUAAAUUGCCUACAGAAGUUCAUGCAAGAUCAGAUACACAAAUUCACCAACAAGCUGGUCAAUCUACUUCUUCUUUAAGACUACCAGCCCUGAUGCCCAAGAUGGACACCUACGACUCAUGACCAACUCCUCUGACUCCAGAGACUCUGUGCCCAUCUAAAACCCUCUCUAACCCUUUUUCCAAUUUUCACAACCCCUCUUUCACUUCCUAGGAAUGAGAACUACUCUCCAGCACGUCUACUCUGCUUAUUCUGUCUGCUCUACAGUAUCCCCACAAGGAAGCAUCAAACCUAAACUCCCCCUGGUACCACCAUGUCUCCCACCUUAAAAAGGCACUUGUUCCAAAUGUCCAGUCCUGGACUUCCACCAUGCCCACCAAACUCAAAAUUUCUUGCCAACCCUCUUCUUCUUUUACUAAUCAUUAUUCUCUCUCAAGUUUUUAUCUCAAACCACAGAUACCGCUUCUACAUCCAAGCGACAUGACACCAGGAUGACACCACCCACUCUCAGUUUAUGGGUCAAGGAGAUUGCCCUUCCACUGGUUGCAAGCGGUCUGUCACCCUUAACAUUACUGGAUUCAACCAAGCCACCUCCAAUACUUCCUAGAGUCCCUGCUACAGGACCAGUGGCUGAUACCAAGAAUCUCCUCCAUCUAGGACUGGUUUGAUGCCAUCAAGGACUUGUGGCUUCAAGGAACUUUUAUGGACUUUACCCCUACCACAGUAGUUGUCUGUAGCCACUGAGUGUUAUUUCUGGCUGCCCUGGUGUUCUCAGACCUGUCCCCCGAACAUUCCUCCACUUCCCCUUCUAGGUCUAACGCCGCCCACCAUUAAGCAGGAAGAAGCCAGAGGACUUUACGCC
RNAcentral lists this long non-coding RNA (1713 nucleotides) under Marmota monax (woodchuck). Lineage: Eukaryota; Metazoa; Chordata; Mammalia; Rodentia; Sciuridae. The record is from RNAcentral.